UACGGGGGGGGCAAGCGUUGUUCGGAAUUACUGGGCGUAAAGGGCUCGUAGGCGGCCCACUAAGUCAGACGUGAAAUCCCUCGGCUUAACCGGGGAACUGCGUCUGAUACUGGAGGGCUUGAGUUUGGGAGAGGGAUGCGGAAUUCCAGGUGUAGCGGUGAAAUGCGUAGAUAUCGAGAGGAACACCUGCGGCGAAGGCGGGUUGCUGGGCUGACACUGACGCUGAUGCGCGAAAGCCAGGGGAGCAAACGGG
Molecule: ribosomal RNA, 253 nt
Filed under: uncultured bacterium
Lineage: Bacteria
Description: partial 16S ribosomal RNA
Rfam family: Bacterial small subunit ribosomal RNA
Source: RNAcentral